ACUUCAUAUUGUGAGUUAUGACCAUACCAGAGAUUCUCUGGCUGUGUCUAGUCUUGGUGUGUCAUUGUAUUAAUGCGCCACAGGAGAAGCACUUUGUUUUCGGUUGAAAAAAGCGGCGGAUGAAUGUGUAGAGCGGGACCACGAAUGCAAGCACAGCCAAGCCAGAGGGAAAGAGACCGUCGCCAAGCAGCGUGAGUUUACAUCAAUGGCACCGUACAGCAGCCAACCUCUCAGUGAUGGAUAAUUAAUGUGGAAGUGCAAAGAAUGCUCUCUGGAACUAGCUAGCAGAUCAGGACUGAAGGUGUUGGUGUUUGGAACAGGGAGCAUUCUGUUGGCUUUGAACUGUGAUUCCCCACUAGAGAGGUUGGCCUGAUUGAGCUUGAUGACUUGAAGGACAUGACUCCGCUUGUGGCGUACUUUGUCAUUAUUAAAGAUCAGAACUGAAGGUGUUGGUGCUUCAUACAGGGAGCAUUCCGUUGGCUUUGAACUGUGAUUCCCCACUAGAGAGGUUGGCCUGAUUGAGCUUGGUGACUUGAAGGACCCGACUUCACUUGUUGCGAAAAUUGUCAAGGGUAAGUGACAUUGUUAAUAAACGGUGUAGCCAAACUGAUGCAUCGUUUGAUAUUAGCCCAAUAAUAAAUACAUCGCUAUUAGUGUUGUCCAAUGUGGUGAUAAUUUUUUUGGAUCUCUGUAUAGAAGAUAAUGGUGAAAAUGGAUGCUUUUAAAAUAUAUUUUUAGGUUGGAAACGAUAAGGGUCAUUUUAAUUUUUUUUAUUGAUGACUGUAUUGUCAAAACUGUGUGUGGCUUUGGUCUCAGACCUUAAUAUCAGUUGGUUGCCACUAAAUAACCUAGGUGUUUACCUUGCUCUUGUACAGUAUGAACUAUUUGCAUUUAAUAUACUGUAUAUUACUAAUGUAGUAUUUUCGUGUUCUACUUUUGUUUUAGAUCAGGACAGGAGGUGUUUAACUAUGUCCAAUCCAGCUGUUCUACGGGUCAUUUUUGGUGAUGGAACUGACUCCAGGAAAUUGCACAUGGUUUCUGGAAUUCCAAAAACUGUGGACGAAGUACAUGAUCUUGUGAAAGCAAGCUUUCAAUUGCAUCAAGACUUUCAUUUGCAGUAUAUGGAUUCUGACUUCAAAGAGUUCAUGAAUCUCACCUCAGUGUCUGAAAUCCAAAAUAUGGGUACACUCAACGUAAUCUACACACCACUCGAGGAGCCCUUCAUCUCUUUAUACACAGUGGAACCAACUGCUUUGUGUUCCCCAGUCCCGAACACUGAGAGUUCAUCAUUGGCCUCAUCAAGCAGUGAUGCCACCUUGUGUACAUCAACUCCACACUCUUCCCCAGAGGUUCAUACAUCAGGAUUGUCCUGGCCCCUGGUUUUUGUUGUCCCAAAGUUUUCCUAUGAAGCGGAACUGGAGCUACAACAAAAGAACACUGAAUUUGAAACAAAGGGAACAUACUUCAAUCCUGGCCCGAAACUUAAAGGAAUCAUCCUUAAUGGCCUGGCACAAGAGAUGAUGAAAUACACCAAGUAUCCGAAGGAUUACCAGUGUGAGGAAGUAGCAGCUGCUUUGAC
Astyanax mexicanus (Mexican tetra) is the source of this 1579-nucleotide long non-coding RNA. RefSeq lists it as uncharacterized. NCBI's taxonomy places the organism in Eukaryota, Metazoa, Chordata, Actinopteri, Characiformes, Acestrorhamphidae. The transcript is spliced from 6 exons. The record is from RefSeq and is a predicted model, not a curated record.